GUGCCAGCAGCCGCGGUAAUACGUAGGGGGCGAGCGUUGUCCGGAUUUAUUGGGCGUAAAGAGCUCGUAGGCGGUUCGGCAAGUCGACGGUGAAAUCUCCACGCUCAACGUGGAGGGGUCCGUCGAUACUGCCGUGACUCGAGUCCGGUAGGGGAGUGUGGAAUUCCCGGUGUAGCGGUGAAAUGCGCAGAGAUCGGGAGGAACACCCGUAGCGAAGGCGGCACUCUGGGCCGGUACUGACGCUGAGGAGCGAAAGCGUGGGGAGCAAACAGGAUUAGAAACCCCUGUAGUCC
RNAcentral lists this ribosomal RNA (293 nucleotides) under uncultured bacterium. RNAcentral's name for it is "partial 16S ribosomal RNA". It matches the Rfam family "Bacterial small subunit ribosomal RNA", at positions 505 to 796 of the family's 1533-position model. The record is from RNAcentral.